GCGGGUUGCAUUGUCCCACAUGGCAAAUAAUCCUGUAUUGGUUUUAGCUCUCCCACAACAGGCCUUUGCCGGAUAUUGUGGCUGCGAAUCUUUGCAGAUGUACUACCCACAGACGUAGUUCCAAUCUAACGCCGGGGACCGCCAUGCCUGCACGUCACCCGACAGAUGCCGGUAGAAGAGCCUGCAGAAGGGCUGCCUGGACCCUGACGUGAGGCCACUGCUGAGUCUUCCCCAGCAGCAGGGCCCUUGGGAAGACCACCGCAGUCUCCUAAAAACAGCUUGUUGUCUAGGGAAGAUGUCCACAUGACCCCAGAUUGAAAAGACACGUGGCAAUGGGCCAUGAGGCC
Echinops telfairi (small Madagascar hedgehog) is the source of this 347-nucleotide long non-coding RNA. RefSeq lists it as uncharacterized. Lineage: Eukaryota; Metazoa; Chordata; Mammalia; Afrosoricida; Tenrecidae. The record is from RefSeq and is a predicted model, not a curated record. The transcript has 3 exons.